AUGCAUCUUCAUAAUCACAGGCCGAGUGUACAGGACUCCAUGUCGUCGGAGAGCAGCGACUCCACUGCCAGCACAGAAACGGAUGAACAGGCUUCCUCUGCUGCCCCUCAGCUGAUUGAUGAAAAGUUUUACGCCUCAGAAAGUGACAUCAUAGUAAGAGCGCCCGCAGACUUCGGACGGCCCAACGAGAACAGCCACAGCUCUGUUACCGUCAGCCUACAGGACGAGAACACCAACGUCUCGAUGGACGCUCUAACCUUCGUCUUCACCACACAGAGCGAGGACAGCCAGAGCAGUGAAAGCAGUGGACUCGGCGAUGAAGGAAUGCAGGCUGAUGAGCCCACAAUGACUCGACUCGAUGUAACUGAUGAGAAAAACAGCAGAUCAGAGAUUGUUGGUCGAGAGAAUAAAAUGGGUUUUGACAGCAGUGAAUAUUCACCAGACACCUCUGCGAAUGAAGAUAAAACCAACACAGCUUCAGUAAUUUAUCCUCCAGACCAUCAAACGACAGAUUUUAACAGCAUUGAAGCUCUACAGAAGGCAAUGGAUGAGCUCAGCGAUGAUAUCCAGGCUGAUGAUGCUUUUAUAGCUUUGCCACAUUAUGGUAAAGCUCAUGAGGAAAGGUCCAGUGUUGCCUCAAAUGGUGAGGCAAAGCAAGCCGGUGAAAGCAGCAUGAGUCCUAAACCCUCGUACACUGCUGACCAUAGGUUUGACUUGAGUUCUGAGAUAACAUACCCAGACAAUUCAACAGUCCUUGACUCUACUGAGUCAAACUCCAGCUUAGAAGACACAGAUGCCUCAAACUCGACUGAUUCCGGAUCGGAUAACCACUAUAGUAGCCCUACAGAGAACCAGACUCCAAGCAAAUCCCUUGAUGAUCCUCAAUCAGACAGUGUAGAACUUUCCACCAUACUCACUACUGCCCUUCACUCUCUCUUAGGAGACCUUAUUGGUCCGAGAUCUAUUCCUGCUCCUCUAAACCUACUGUCUCUGACCAGCAGGGAGGACCGAGCUUCAAGGGAAGCAAGGGGCAAAGGAGCCAACCUGGGAUCAGAUUCCAUAGAUAAUCAGGACCUUCACUCACAUUCAAGCCCCACUUCAGGUUCUUGGACGUUCCAGACAGUCUCACCAAUCAGCUCCAGCUCUGAAGAGGAAGAAGAUGAUGGGGAUAAAGCCUUUGUCACUGAUGCAACACCUAGCCGUACUGCAAGUCCAGUGCCUAGUCCAGAGCUCUUCUCAGGUCCGAUAUAUGUCAAUGAUGGCUGGCCAGCUUCUGACUACUCCUACUCUUUGAACAAUUUUAGGCACCACUAUGCGGAAUACGAAGAAUGGGAUCAUACAGACAAUUCCAUCAAAUCAAACCACCCUGGAGCACCAACAGACACAAAUACAUACCCCAAAACUGACGAACAAGAUCUGGAACAGGGUCCAACAGAGGAAAGCAGUCCAGCAUAUUCAGAGGAGGCAACAGAGAAUGAGGACCUUCCUACAGAAGUCUCAAAAAGUGAGGACAACUCACAAGAUGAAGAACAACUUGAGAUGGCAUCUGGUUCUCCAGCAUCCAGGGAAGAUGUUAACUCUAGUUCCAGCGAGACCAGCAGAGAAACAGCCUUGCAGAUUCCCAAAGCUCCAGAAGCAUCUCCCACUGGUGCUGGACCUACUUUGUCCAAUAGUCAGGAGAGCAUAGAGACCAUGGAAGAUGUUGGUAGUGAAACAGGAGCCGUAACAAUGAGUUCCAGUAGUGAGGAAAGUGUUGAAAUGGACUCUCUUGAUGACCAGAGUUCAGCACCAGUGCGCUCCAACAGUAAAGACAGCCAGAACCAGACAGACUGGCAGUUAGCCCACACAGAUGCUCAGCUUGUGGUGCAGGUUACUCCUGACAUUCAGGCAGCUUCUGCUGCUGAAGGACAAGGCAAACCUGUAGAUCUUACACCUGGAUCGAGCUCAGAGGAAGAGUUGGAUCCCAUUUCAACAGGUAUGAUAUUCAGCCAUGCACCCAUGUCCAGUGAAGAGCAGGUGUUUCGAGCAAACAUAGACAAUAGAACUGAAAUAAUCUCAACGUCCAAUGAAGAAGAGGCUAAUGUUAGGUUGAACCUUGCUGUCCCAGGCAACUCCAGCUCAGAAGACAGUCCAAAUGAAGAAUCACUGUCAGCUGAAUCCACCACUGACAGCCCAGGAACCAGUGUGGAGUCGACUCCUGAAUUGACUCUUAGCCAUGAAUCACUGGACGUCACCACAGAGCACCCAACGGUCAUCUCAGAAUCAGUUUCCGUAAGUGUUUCCCAUGUUGGCGAUGAGGACCUGUCCAGUGAGAUUCCAAGUCCAAGUGCAGACAGUGAAGAGUCCCCGGAAUCGCAAGGCCUUACCUCGUCCACAGUUCCUCCUGUCGCUAGAAACCCCAGCCGAGCCCUACAAACUGAAAAGAGCAGUGAAGAAGAUGACAUACAGGACAUGAGGUCAGACCAGGUGAUGACCCGUCGUUUCCAUAGUAACCCCAGGCCUACAGCCAUGCCUCAGGAAACAGCAGCCAAUCCCUGGACGGCGUUUCUUCAAGCCCUGAGAGCACACGUGACCAAUCAAAGCGUGCAACAUGCUGACCACAAAGGCCAGAGAUCAUGGAGUAACUAUGGUCACCAUAGCAACAGAGGAAAGAAAGCAAGCAGCAGUGAGGAAAGCAAAUGA
Pygocentrus nattereri (red-bellied piranha) is the source of this 2682-nucleotide long non-coding RNA. Lineage: Eukaryota; Metazoa; Chordata; Actinopteri; Characiformes; Serrasalmidae. The record is from Ensembl.